RNAcentral lists this unclassified non-coding RNA (391 nucleotides) under soil metagenome. RNAcentral's name for it is "partial contains 5.8S ribosomal RNA, internal transcribed spacer 2, and large subunit ribosomal RNA". The stretch from base 1 to 121 matches the Rfam family "5.8S ribosomal RNA", at positions 35 to 154 of the family's 154-position model. The record is from RNAcentral.
GAUGAAGACGUAGCGAAAUGCGAUACUUGGUGUGAAUUGCAGAAUCCCGUGAACCAUCGAGUCUUUGAACGCAAGUUGCGCCCGAAGCCAUUAGGCCGAGGGCACGCCUGCCUGGGCGUCACACGUCGUUGCCCCCCCCAUCUACUCCUUCGGGAUUGCGGGGGGCGGAUGAUGGCCUCCCGUGCGCCUCGCCGCGCGGUUGGCAUAAAUGCCAAGUCCUCGGCGACGCACGCCACGACAAUCGGUGGUUGCGAAACCUCGGUUGCCCGUCGUGUGCGGUCGUCGCGCAUCGAGGGCUCGAAAAAAUUGCCGAGUUCCGGCUCGGCUUUCAACGCGACCCCAGGUCAGGCGGGGUUACCCGCUGAAUUUAAGCAUAUCAAUAAGCGGAGGA